GUGAUGAUGAGUGGCUUCGCCUUUAUCUUUGUCUUCAGUCUACUUUUUUUAAUUUCAAUUUUCUUUAUUCAUUGGGAAAUGGUAUGGUACUCAGACGCGAAUGCAGAUUUUCAUUCAAGACCAAUGGUGUGUGGUCGUUCCUAGUUAAGUUAUCUUGCCGUCAUCUCGUUGGAAUCAGAUGGUUGAGUCUGAGUCGAUAGCAAGGCCUACAAAUCGCGGUGGAUCCCGUUGGAGAUUCUUGCCUAAUUGCAUGUGCGUGUACUCUGUGUGCAUGUGCGAUAUGUACGCAGUCGUGCCACGUAUCGGAGCAUGAACCUGCACCACUUCGAACGGAAUCUUAUCAGACUGUGAACAGAAACAGCUGGAGCAAUCCAUGCAUUGCAGGAUGAAUUAUGAGACUUCUGUGAGUGGAUAACAUCGAAAAGCCCCU
Molecule: small RNA, 430 nt
Filed under: Histoplasma capsulatum var. duboisii H88
Lineage: Eukaryota; Fungi; Ascomycota; Eurotiomycetes; Onygenales; Ajellomycetaceae
Description: Histoplasma capsulatum H88 hypothetical RNA
Source: RNAcentral